GUCAGCUAUGUGGACUCUAGCUGCCAAAGGCGCUUCUCCUUCUGAACAGAGCGCUUUGCUCAGCCAGUGUAGACAUGGCCUGAU
Molecule: microRNA precursor, 84 nt
Organism: Marmota marmota marmota (Alpine marmot)
Lineage: Eukaryota; Metazoa; Chordata; Mammalia; Rodentia; Sciuridae
Product: microRNA 1251
Source: Ensembl